ACCGCAUCGCUCACCGUCCUUGACUGGAUCCAUCACCAAAUCCAUCCCGUCCCCGACCCUCCAUCUCUUCCACAAAAACCACGCGGAUGCACGGUCCUCUCGGCUUGGCCAUCUCCCUCCUCCGCUCGAUUCCUCGCCGCCAGCGCUGAGUAGGGUUCUUCCCCAAAUCCCCGAGUCCCUUGUGAUGUGGCUCCAGUGGUGGCGCCGCCGGGCCUUCCCGUCGUAUUUCGGCAAAGCAUCCGGCCGAUUUCCGAUGUGGCUCCAUCCGGCCCACGAGUGCCGACCCGCCUCAGAGCCAUAGCGCUGCUGUCCUGACCUGCUCCACGACCGGUGCCACGCUGCCGGGGAGACAGGGAGACCUGGUCGAGUUGUCCUCCUUGACGGCGGCCCCUGCCCCUCGACCUGCUCCUCGCCUGGGGAAACUAGGAGGCUGCACUCAAGGCUAUCCUUAUGCGCGCGGGGUCUGUUGCGUCCUGAUGCAGUAGCGGCUUUGCAUUGCUGGGCUCCACGCCGCGAAUCACUUCAGUUCAAGGGAAGGCUAUCUGAGCAAUCAGUACGAUACUGGUGAUUGCUACUAGGAGUACACCCGAUCGAUCCAAAGGCUGGCUUUUUGGAGGAAUUCGCUAGCAGCCCCAAAAUUUGAGGGGAAUUCAUUCGCGAAGACCUCGGCAUCACCGGUGUUGGAGAGUAUGUAUGAUCGAGCGGCCAACACAUAUCUGCAUAACUACUCCCCAACAAUUUAUGGUCUUUGUUUGCUUCCUCUACUCUGCGACCGUGAGCAUGGUGAAGGCAUUUGCGGAGUGGCGUGAUGUGGCGGCGCGUUGAUCGAGUUACGGAUGAUAUAACUGUGAUACAUCCUCGCACGUCUCUGGCGGACAAUGGUGGUCCUGGGGCUCUGCCCCCCUUCCCUGCAAGCGCCUGAAGGAAUCCUGUGAUUCACUAAGCAGCAGCACAGGCGUAUCCAAUCCAAUUAAACGAAGAACAAGCAAAGAAAAAUACAACAGUACAGAGUAAAUCCAUAAGUCCUUCUCGCUGGUCUGUAGCAGAAAAAGCUGGAACGGGGAAGGAUUGUUUGUGUACAUCACUAUGGAGCACAUACUAUGCGUAUAUGUGUUCACGUAUCCAAGUUUCGCGUGGAUAUUUUUGUCAAGGAAUUCAGAGUAAAACUUACAAAUUGAUCUC
Lolium rigidum is the source of this 1182-nucleotide long non-coding RNA. RefSeq lists it as uncharacterized. The transcript has 2 exons. Lineage: Eukaryota; Viridiplantae; Streptophyta; Magnoliopsida; Poales; Poaceae. The record is from RefSeq and is a predicted model, not a curated record.